Molecule: ribosomal RNA, 492 nt
Filed under: uncultured bacterium
Lineage: Bacteria
Description: partial 16S ribosomal RNA
Rfam family: Bacterial small subunit ribosomal RNA
Source: RNAcentral
AGUGAACGCUGGCGGUAGGCCUAACACAUGCAAGUCGAACGGCAGCACAGUAAGAGCUUGCUCUUACGGGUGGCGAGUGGCGGACGGGUGCGGAAUACAUCGGAAUCUACUUUUUCGUGGGGGAUAACGUAGGGAAACUUACGCUAAUACCGCAUACGACCUACGGGUGAAAGCAGGGGAUCUUCGGACCUUGCGCGAUUGAAUGAGCCGAUGUCGGAUUAGCUAGUUGGCGGGGUAAAGGCCCACCAAGGCGACGAUCCGUAGCUGGUCUGAGAGGAUGACCAGCCACACUGGAACUGAACCACGGUCCAGACUCCUACGGGAGGCAGCAGUUGGGAAUAUUGGACAAUGAGCGCAAGCCUGAUCCAGCCAUACCGCGUGGGUGAUGAAGGCCUUCGGGUUGUAAAGCCCUUUUGUUAGGAAAGAAAAGCAGCAGGUUAAUACCCCGCUGUUCUGACGGUACCCAAAGAAUAAGCACCGGCUAACUUCGUG